GGAACCUUCCACGGUUUCUGCGACGCAGCUAACGCAUUAAGUGCCCCGCCUGGGGAGUACGAUCGCAAGAUUAAAACUCAAAGGAAUUGACGGGGCCCCGCACAAGCAGCGGAGCAUGCGGCUUAAUUCGACGCAACGCGAAGAACCUUACCAAGGCUUGACAUAUACAGGAAUAUGGCAGAAAUGUCAUAGCCGCAAGGUCUGUAUACAGGUGGUGCAUGGUUGUCGUCAGCUCGUGUCGUGAGAUGUUGGGUUAAGUCCCGCAACGAGCGCAACCCUCGUUCUGUGUUGCCAGCAUUUAGUUGGGGACUCACAGGAGACUGCCGGGGUUAACUCGGAGGAAGGUGGGGAUGACGUCAAAUCAUCAUGCCCCUUAUGUCUUGGGCUGCACGCAUGCUACAAUGGCUGGUACAAACGGCUGCGAUACCGCAAGGUGGAGCGAAUCCGAUAAAGCCAGUCUCAGUUCGGAUUGGGGUCUGCAACUCGACCCCAUGAAGUCGGAGUUGCUAGUAAUCGUAGAUCAGCAACGCUACGGUGAAUACGUUCCCGGGGCUUGUACACACCGCCCGUCACGUCACGAAAGUCGGUAACACCCGAAGUCAGUGGCCCAACCGUAAGGGGGGAGCUGCCGAAGGUGGGAUCGGUGAUUGGGACGAAGUCGUAACAAGGUA
This 671-nucleotide ribosomal RNA is filed under the name uncultured Actinomycetes bacterium. RNAcentral describes it as "bacterial SSU rRNA". It matches the Rfam family "Bacterial small subunit ribosomal RNA", at positions 825 to 1498 of the family's 1533-position model. Lineage: Bacteria; Bacillati; Actinomycetota; Actinomycetes. The record is from RNAcentral.